Molecule: non-coding RNA, 1386 nt
Organism: Pelobates cultripes (western spadefoot toad)
Lineage: Eukaryota; Metazoa; Chordata; Amphibia; Anura; Pelobatidae
Source: the annotation of a GenBank genome assembly
UCCACCCAAUCUAAUACACUGCCCCAUCCCCCAUUCUAAUACACUGCCCACCAAGCCAAUAUACUGCCCCAUCCACCCAAUCUAAUACACUACCCACCAAGCCAAUAUACUGCCCCCUCCACCCAAUCUAAUACACUGCCCACCAAGCCAAUAUACUGCCCCAUCCACCCAAUCUAAUACACUGCCCACCAAGCCAAUAUACUGCCCCAUCCACCCAAUCUAAUACACUGCCCACCAAACCAAUAUACUGCCCCAUCCACCCAAUCUAAUACACUGCCCACCAAGCCAAUAUACUGCCCCAUCCACCCAAUCUAAUACACUGCCCACCAAGCCAAUAUACUGCCCCAUCCACCCAAUCUAAUACACUGCCCACCAAGCCAAUAUACUGCCCCCUCCACCCAAUCUAAUACACUGCCCACCAAGCCAAUAUACUGCCCCAUCCACCCAAUCUAAUACACUGCCCCUCCUCCCUCCACUCUAAUUUAAUUCACUGCCCCCUCCCUACCCCAAUUUAACACACUGCCCCUCCCACCACCCUAAUAGACUGCCCCCCUCCUUCCUUCUCCACAUUAAUAUAUUGUCAUCUCUUCAAUUUAACACACUGCCCUACUCCCUCCCCCAAAUAUUACACUGCGCCCCUCCCAAAUUGAACACACUACAUAGGAAGGUCCCCCAAGCCCCUUUUCCCUUACCUGAAGAUGAGUCGUCUUCCAGUUCCAGCUCUUCUCUGCUCAAGCAGGCCAGACGCUCCUCUGGCACUGCGAGCAGGAAGGAAAGGGGGAGUGGCUGGCACUGCGAGCAGGAGGGAAGGGAGAGUAGCUGGCACUGCGAGCAGGAGGGAAGGGGGAGGAAAGGGGAAGUGGUUGGCACUGCGAGCAGCAGGGAAGGGAGAGUGGCUGGCACUGCUAGCAGGAAGGAACAGGGAGGAAAGGGGGAGUGGCUGGCACUGCGAGCAGGAGGGAAGGGGAGUGGCUGGCACUGCGAGCAGGAAUGAACGGGAAGAGAAGGGGGAGUGGCUGGCACUGCGAGCAGGAAUGAAAGGGAAGGGGGAGUGGCUGGCACUGCGAGCAGGAAUGAACGGGGGAGUGGCUGGCACUGCGAGCAGGAAGGAACAGGGAGGGAAGGGGGAGUGGCUGGCACUGCGAGCAUGAGGGAAGGGGAGUGGCUGGCAAAGCAGGAGGGAAGGGAGUGGCUGGCAUUGUAAGCAGGAGGGAAGGGAGUGGCUGGCACUGCAACAGGAGGGAAGGGGAAGUGCUGGCACGACAGAGGAAGUGGCUGGCAUUGCAAGCAGGAGGGACGGGGAGUGGCUGGCACUGCGAGCAGGAGGGAAUGGGAGUGGCUGGCACUGCGAGCAGGAAUGAACGGGGAGGGAAGGGGGAGUGGGUG